Molecule: ribosomal RNA, 425 nt
Filed under: uncultured bacterium
Lineage: Bacteria
Description: partial 16S ribosomal RNA
Rfam family: Bacterial small subunit ribosomal RNA
Source: RNAcentral
GUGGGGAAUCUUAGACAAUGGGGGCAACCCUGAUCUAGCCAUGCCGCGUGAGUGAUGAAGGCCUUAGGGUCGUAAAGCUCUUUCGCCGGGGAAGAUAAUGACUGUACCCGGUAAAGAAACCCCGGCUAACUCCGUGCCAGCAGCCGCGGUAAUACGGAGGGGGUUAGCGUUGUUCGGAAUUACUGGGCGUAAAGCGCGCGUAGGCGGAUCGGAAAGUUGGGGGUGAAAUCCCGGGGCUCAACCCCGGAAUUGCCUUCAAAACUCCCGGUCUUGAGGUCGAGAGAGGUGAGUGGAAUUCCGAGUGUAGAGGUGAAAUUCGUAGAUAUUCGGAGGAACACCAGUGGCGAAGGCGGCUCACUGGCUCGAUACUGACGCUGAGGUGCGAAAGCGUGGGGAGCAAACAGGAUUAGAUACCCGUGUAGUCC